Molecule: ribosomal RNA, 409 nt
Filed under: uncultured bacterium
Lineage: Bacteria
Description: bacterial SSU rRNA
Rfam family: Bacterial small subunit ribosomal RNA
Source: RNAcentral
CAGCAGCCGCGGUAAUACGUAGGGUGCGAGCGUUGCCCGGAUUUAUUGGGCGUAAAGGGCGCGUAGGCGGUCACGCACGUCCGUUGUGAAAUCGCUCGGCUCAACUGGGCGGGGUCAGCGGAUACGGCGUGGCUGGAGCAAGCUAGGGGGCAAUGGAAUUCCCGGUGUAGUGGUGGAAUGCGUAGAUAUCGGGAGGAACACCAGUGGCGAAGGCGGUUGCCUGGAGCUUUGCUGACGCUGAUGCGCGAAAGCGUGGGGAGCGAUCCGGAUUAGAUACCCGGGUAGUCCACGCCGUAAACGAUGCGGACUAGGUGUCGGGGGUAUCGACCCCCUCGGCGCCGCAGCUAACGCAUUAAGUCCGCCGCCUGGGGACUACGGCCGCAAGGCUAAAACUCAAAGGAAUUGACGG